AUCUAGCCAAAAAUUUUCCCUUGGGAGUAACAAUACUUUCCGGUUGAAAUCCCAACUCGAGGAGGGGUUUUAGUCAGUAGACGCUACGGCGAAUCCGACACUACCCUCCUUCAGGGGGUGUCUUUUGAAGAUUUCCCCUCCUCGAGGAUA
Agrilus planipennis (emerald ash borer) is the source of this 150-nucleotide non-coding RNA. Lineage: Eukaryota; Metazoa; Arthropoda; Insecta; Coleoptera; Buprestidae. The record is from Rfam.